Oncorhynchus tshawytscha (Chinook salmon) is the source of this 1161-nucleotide long non-coding RNA. NCBI's taxonomy places the organism in Eukaryota, Metazoa, Chordata, Actinopteri, Salmoniformes, Salmonidae. The record is from Ensembl.
GAAGAAGAGGCACAUCCUGGAACAAGGUUACACUGUUGAUAGUUACGCAAGAGGGAAAAUUAUGCAUGUUUUGUUUACUUUCUCUAUCGAAUACAGAUUGCCCCGUCUACAAUUUGAUCGAUUAUUAACGUUUAAAAAUACCUAAAGUUGUAGUACAAAAGUAGUUUGAAAUAUUUUGGCAAAGUUUAUAGGCAACUUUUGAAAUGUUUUGUAGUGACGUUGUGUUUUGGAAAGCUGUUUUUUUCCAGAUCAAACCUGCUUUAUAAAUGGACAUGUUGGGUAUACAUGGACGGAAUUAAUCGAAAAAAAAAGGACCAAUUGUGAUGUUUAUGGGACAUAUUGGAGUGCCAACAAAGAAGCUCGUCAAAGUGUCGGUCCUCACGGAAGGACGAGGCGCAGGGCGAUCCGGAUGGAGACGGUGGAACUCCCGCAGCAAUAUUGGAAGCAUCAGGGAGUUUAAUUUUUUGUUUUGGUUGGUGACAUCGGGUCCGGGUGCCGUUGCCGAAGGAACUGGGGAUUCCUCAGCCGGCUCAUCAGGCUUUUAUGCCUUAGCUGGCUAGAGAGGUUUUCUUGACUCGGUUGACUCGGCAGGCUCCCAUCCCACGUCAUGCCUCAGCUGACUCGUCAGGCUCCCACGCCUCACCCAGCUCGUUGGGCUCCCACGCCUCGGCCGGCUCGUCGGGCUCCCAUGCCUCAGCCUGUCAUCCGGCUCUCACGCCUCAGUAGGCGGUCAGGAUCACCCAGGUGGGACGCCGGGUGGCACCCCUGGGAGGGGGGGUACUGUCACGCCUGCUCCCGCUCCCCAUCUCUGGCGCUCGAGGGUGCCAGUCUGCCCAUCAUUACGCACACCUGCCACCAUCGUUACGUGCAUCAGCGCUUCAUUGGACUCACCUGUACUCACUUUAUUGAUUGUCCACCCUAUAUCUGUCAAUUCCUCAGCUUCAUCCCCUUGUCAGCAUUAAUGUCGUUAUGUUCCCCUUGUCCAGAUGCUGUCCUUGUUUUGUUUUAUGCCUGUUUAUCCAUUAAAUAUUCACUCCCUGUACUUGCUUCUCAUCUCCCAGCGUCUGUCCUCACAGUUUCGAGACUAGAGCAAUUGAUGAUUUAUCCAGUUUACCCAAAGUACAGUUAAAAUCUCUUGAAAUAAAUCCAAGUCCCUUGCAC